This 601-nucleotide ribosomal RNA is filed under the name fungal endophyte. Its description in RNAcentral is "eukaryotic LSU rRNA". The stretch from base 176 to 329 matches the Rfam family "5.8S ribosomal RNA". The record is from RNAcentral. Lineage: Eukaryota; Fungi.
UUACUGAGUUUACGCUCUACAACCCUUUGUGAACAUACCUAUAACUGUUGCUUCGGCGGGCAGGGUCUCCGUGACCCUCCCGGCCUCCCGCCCCCGGGCGGGUCGGCGCCCGCCGGAGGAUAACCAAACUCUGAUUUAACGACGUUUCUUCUGAGUGGUACAAGCAAAUAAUCAAAACUUUUAACAACGGAUCUCUUGGUUCUGGCAUCGAUGAAGAACGCAGCGAAAUGCGAUAAGUAAUGUGAAUUGCAGAAUUCAGUGAAUCAUCGAAUCUUUGAACGCACAUUGCGCCCGCCAGCAUUCUGGCGGGCAUGCCUGUUCGAGCGUCAUUUCAACCCUCAAGCUCUGCUUGGUGUUGGGGCCCUACAGCUGAUGUAGGCCCUCAAAGGUAGUGGCGGACCCUCCCGGAGCCUCCUUUGCGUAGUAACUUUACGUCUCGCACUGGGAUCCGGAGGGACUCUUGCCGUAAAACCCCCCAAUUUUCCAAAGGUUGACCUCGGAUCAGGUAGGAAUACCCGCUGAACUUAAGCAUAUCAAUAAGCGGAGGAAAAGAAACCAACAGGGAUUGCCUCAGUAACGGCGAGUGAAGCGGCAACAGCUC